Molecule: ribosomal RNA, 253 nt
Filed under: uncultured bacterium
Lineage: Bacteria
Description: partial 16S ribosomal RNA
Rfam family: Bacterial small subunit ribosomal RNA
Source: RNAcentral
UACGGAGGAUGCAAGCGUUAUCCGGAAUUAUUGGGCGUAAAGCGUCCGCAGGUGGCACUUCAAGUCUGCUGUCAAAGACCGGGGCUUAACCCUGGAAAGGCAGUGGAAACUGAAGCGCUAGAGUGUGGCAGGGGUAGAGGGAAUUCCCGGUGUAGCGGUGAAAUGCGUAGAGAUCGGGAAGAACAUCGGUGGCGAAGGCGGCUCUCUGGGACGGUACUGACGCUGAGGAGCGAAAGCGUGGGGAGCGAACAGG